UCCUACGGGAGGCAGCAGGAAGGAAUAUUGGUCAAUGGAGGCAACUCUGAGCCAGCCAUGCCGCGUGCAGGAUGACUGCCCUAUGGGUUGUAAACUGCUUUUGUCAGGGAAUAAACCUUUCUACGUGUAGAAAGCUGAAUGUACCUGAAGAAUUAGGAUCGGCUAGCUCCGUGCCAGCAGCCGCGGUAAUACGGAGGAUCCAAGCGUUAUCCGGAUUUAUUGGGUUUAAAGGGUGCGUAGGCGGUCCUAUAAGUCAGUGGUGAAAGACGGCAGCUUAACUGUCGCAGUGCCUUUGAUACUGUAGGACUUGAAUCUAUUUGAAGUGGGCGGAAUAAGACAAGUAGCGGUGAAAUGCAUAGAUAUGUCUUAGAACUCCGAUUGCGAAGGCAGCUCACUAAGUUAGUAUUGACGCUGAUGCACGAAAGCGUGGGGAUCAAACAGGAUUAGAUACCCUGGUAGUCCACGCCCUAAACGAUGAUAACUCGAUGUUUGCGAUACACAGUAAGCGUCCAAGCGAAAGCGUUAAGUUAUCCACCUGGGGAGUACGGUCGCAAGAUUGAAACUCAAAGGAAUUGACGG
This 579-nucleotide ribosomal RNA is filed under the name uncultured Sphingobacterium sp. RNAcentral's name for it is "bacterial SSU rRNA". It matches the Rfam family "Bacterial small subunit ribosomal RNA", at positions 337 to 916 of the family's 1533-position model. Lineage: Bacteria; Pseudomonadati; Bacteroidota; Sphingobacteriia; Sphingobacteriales; Sphingobacteriaceae. The record is from RNAcentral.